RNAcentral lists this transfer RNA (73 nucleotides) under Mediterranea sp. (in: CFB group bacteria). RNAcentral's name for it is "Mediterranea sp. tRNA-Gly". It matches the Rfam family "tRNA". From Rfam's summary of the family: Transfer RNA (tRNA) molecules are approximately 80 nucleotides in length. Their secondary structure includes four short double-helical elements and three loops (D, anti-codon, and T loops). Lineage: Bacteria; Pseudomonadati; Bacteroidota; Bacteroidia; Bacteroidales; Bacteroidaceae. The record is from RNAcentral.
GCGAAAAUAGCUCAGCCGGUAGAGCAUUAGCUUCCCAAGCUAAGGGUCGCGGGUUCGAAUCCCGUUUUUCGCU